Molecule: long non-coding RNA, 1686 nt
Organism: Cornus florida
Lineage: Eukaryota; Viridiplantae; Streptophyta; Magnoliopsida; Cornales; Cornaceae
Exons: 6
Source: RefSeq, a predicted model, not a curated record
GAUUCAUUAGCGCAUGAGGAUCUAAUUCCUGGUUUUUGCAAAUUCUAUUACGUGACCUAGGAAUGUUCCAGUUUUUCUGUAGGAAUUCUUUGUUGGUGAAUUUUUUUCAAGUCUUACCCCUAGUUUCUAGUUUUGCUUUCCUAUCUUUGUGGUUUUUCAUACUGGAAGAGUUUUGAUCAUAGUUUUACCCCCUAGUCUCUAGUUUUACAAUUGCGUUGCUGUGCAUUUUUUUUCCUCUAUAAUCAAUGCUUUUCUAAGUGGGCAAGAAAUAAUAGUGAAAAGUGUCUCUAUUUAGAACUUAACCUACAAUUUUUUUCCUUAAAGCAUUGCUGAUAUCAAAAUAGACCAUAUAUGCCAAUGAUUCUUGAAUAUCUUCUGAAUAUAAGCAAAGAUCAUUUAUUUUUCUUUUUUUGAACCUUUUGAUCUGAUUUCUCCAUACAACUCAUGUUUCUAUAUUUGUAGAUCUAUUAAUAUAAUCAAUCUAGGUUUUUUUUUUUUUUUUUGUUCUUCAGGUUUGUUUAUGUGAGUAUAUUAUAUGACUUUGUUCUUUUGAGAUCUCUGCUCGUCCAUUAUUUUUUGUUGUUUUUUUUUUUUUUUGUCCCCCCAUCUUGGUUCCUCUGUUUUUUUUAUUUUUCUUUUUUAUUUGAUAAGUCAUGUUGAUGGUGUUGGAUAAACAUUAGAUGGAUAUAAAAUAAGUGGUGGAAUGGAGAUUUAAAUCUUUUGUCAAUAUGAAUAUAUGAUUGAUCCUAUUCUAGGUUGUAUAAUAAUGGAAAAGAGUAAUCAUGUCAUUUUUUUGUUUCAUUUUUGCUUCUUCAGUUUCCAUGACAUCUUUUCUGGCAACCUCUCCUAAUAUUUCUGAAAAAUUAAUGGUUAUGUGAAGGCUUGGGAUGAAAAGAAGGUCGAGUUGGGAACUCCAUCACAGAAAUGUUUCCUUCCCUUUCUCAUCGGCAUGCCAAACUGGCUCGAGAAGGGAUUCAUCAGCUCCAAAUAUUCAAAUUUGGGCCAGCAGUUAGCAAAUUGUUUAUAGCCUUCUCACCAUGGCUUUAGUUUGGUGAGGUGGAUAUUGAGGGUUCAUUGGUUGCUAGUAUUAUUUUAAACAAGAUAGAUUUGGUGACUGAGGCUGACUUGGAGGUGUUCACAAAGCGAAUUCAGCAUAUCAAUGGGAUGACACAGUUAAAGCUGGCUAAAUAUGGCGUUGUCGACAUGGACUUUGUUUUGGGAGUGGGCGGUUAUGAUCUAGAUAGAAUUGAUUUAGAGGUUCAGUUGGAUAGUUCUCAUUGUGAAUCCCAUCAGUGUUGUUAAAGGCGCGCCUAGGCUCGAGGCUCAGGUUUAGCGCUUGUUGCCAUCCCAGGCUCACUGAUGUUGGAAAUGAGAAGGACCGGAUCGAGGUGAAGAUGAGAAACGGUGUACAGAAGAUGGUCAUUUCCAAAUGGAAAGGCGUCACCACCAUCAAAAUCAACAACUGAGCUUCCAUCGCUGUCCUUCCGAGCUCAUCUAUGUUCAUCCUGUUUGCUUAAUUCUUUUUUAGGGUUUGUUCAUUGAUCGAUUGAUCUCUUUUGAUUUCACUAUGUUCUGGUUUUUGAAGCUUUGAAAAAUGUUGAUGCUCUAUGUAGUUGAUGGAUCUUUUGUUUGAGGGUUCCCAAAUCCCAACUGAAAAAUGUUGAUGCUUUGUGUGUGCACCACAAA